Molecule: small nucleolar RNA, 138 nt
Organism: Ornithorhynchus anatinus (platypus)
Lineage: Eukaryota; Metazoa; Chordata; Mammalia; Monotremata; Ornithorhynchidae
Source: RefSeq, a predicted model, not a curated record
ACCCUCUCACGGUCGCAACUGGAGAGUUUCCAGUCCUCUACCAGCCUUGACUAUGGGAGGGAGAGUCAAGCAGAGGCCUACCCAUUCCAUUCUUAGCUUGGGCAGUGACUAGAGAGCGGAAGGCCAUCUGCUACAAGU